RNAcentral lists this ribosomal RNA (253 nucleotides) under uncultured bacterium. RNAcentral describes it as "partial 16S ribosomal RNA". It matches the Rfam family "Bacterial small subunit ribosomal RNA", at positions 524 to 776 of the family's 1533-position model. The record is from RNAcentral.
UACGGGGGGGGCAAGCGUUGUUCGGAAUUACUGGGCGUAAAGGGCUCGUAGGCGGCCAACUAAGUCGGACGUGAAAUCCCUCGGCUUAACCGGGGAACUGCAUCCGAUACUGGAGGGCUUGAGUUUGGGAGAGGGAUGCGGAAUUCCAGGUGUAGCGGUGAAAUGCGUAGAUAUCUGGAGGAACACCGGUGGCGAAGGCGGCAUCCUGGACCAACACUGACGCCGAGGAGCGAAAGCCAGGGGAGCAAACGGG